UUUGGAGCUUGGUUUACGUCUCUUAAUAGAAGUCCGAGGGUGGGCGGAGGGACGGGUGUGUGGAGCUGCACCUGCGCUUAGUUGGAAACCUGUUGCCGUUGCAGUUGGAAGCCGAGGAGGACACUACUCUGUUCCCAGAAACGCAGCUACAACGUGGACGGCUGCUGUAAAUUCUAGACUGGUGCAAAGCCCCUCCUCCUCUCUUUUCCUUGUUCUUGAUCCAGCUCCCAGAAUGAGGGGAUGGCUCCUGAGACGUUGGAAAGAAAUCACAAGACAAAGAGCCUGAUGCACACCUACUUUCUGAGAACCUAGAGGUUUCCUCCUCUAGGUUAGUGUACCUUUUGCCUCACGCCUGUUCCCCUACAAGUAACAGUUCACCUGACUCUUCAUUCCCUUUCAUUCUCCUCAUGGACUCAGGUAGCAAAUGAAUUUCAUUACUAUAAGGGAGUUAGGGGGAUAAUCCGAUAGCUUGGUACUUUGUCCCUUCUUUCCAAUGCGGCAUGCCCACGAAUCAGGAUGAGAUCGACUCCUUUAAGGCUGCUUUUCCUCAAAAUUAGGUAUAGGUCCCUGAUACUUGAAGGUAGCUCUAAUCAACAACAACCCCCUCUCCUUUCCCUGCCUUUCUUGCUCUCUCGCUCUCUCUUUCUCCCAGUAAUUAUUUACUUGGUUGUAUUCCACCAAAUUGUAUUUUUUUUCUACAUACGUGGUGCUAGCAUGUGCAUAUGCAGAUUCCCUGGAGGAAAGUGUUUUCCUUUCCACAAGGUGUCCCCCUGAGGCUAGGGACAUAAAGAUACCUGUGUGUAAGAUUACACACAUGGAGUCUGAAUCUUUUGCACAUAGAAGGUGACAAGUGCACAUGAAUGGAGUCAUCACCCCAGGGAAGCCAGUGGUCCUUGAGGAGGAGUUUUGAUCUGGAAUGAUGUCCAUCAGCAGGAGUAAAAGUGGAAGGGCCUUCCAACCCUGGAGAGUGAAAUACAAGGAACAGGUGGAAAGGAGGAGCUUGUGGAUCCCCAAAGAAUAUCCACUUGGUUAUCUUGUUGAUCAGUAGCAGUCUGAGACUCCCGGGAGGCCUGAGAGUCUGUAUCUGUUUUGUUUUGUUGUUGUUUUUUGGUCAGGGGCCCAAUCCUAAUAAACCUUCCUUUUCAAUCUGA
Dipodomys spectabilis (banner-tailed kangaroo rat) is the source of this 1151-nucleotide long non-coding RNA. RefSeq lists it as uncharacterized. Lineage: Eukaryota; Metazoa; Chordata; Mammalia; Rodentia; Heteromyidae. The record is from RefSeq and is a predicted model, not a curated record. The transcript has 2 exons.